This 258-nucleotide ribosomal RNA is filed under the name uncultured marine eukaryote. RNAcentral's name for it is "partial 18S ribosomal RNA". It matches the Rfam family "Eukaryotic small subunit ribosomal RNA", at positions 1 to 257 of the family's 1831-position model. The record is from RNAcentral.
AACCUGGUUGAUCCUGCCAGUAGUCAUACGCUCGUCUCAAAGAUUAAGCCAUGCAUGUCUAAGUAUAAAUACUUUUACUUUGAAACUGCGAACGGCUCAUUAUAUCAGUUAUAAGUUUAUUUGAUAGUCCCUUACUACUUGGAUAACCGUAGUAAUUCUAGAGCUAAUACAUGCAUCAAUACCCAACUGUUCGCGGACGGGGUAGUAUUUAUUAGAUAGAAACCAACCCUCUUCGGAGGCGCUCAGGUGAUUCAUGAU